Molecule: ribosomal RNA, 253 nt
Filed under: uncultured bacterium
Lineage: Bacteria
Description: partial 16S ribosomal RNA
Rfam family: Bacterial small subunit ribosomal RNA
Source: RNAcentral
UACGUAGGUGGCAAGCGUUGUCCGGAUUUACUGGGCGUAAAGAGCUCGUAGGCGGCUCGUCGCGUCGACCGUGAAAACCCGCGGCUUAACUGCGGGCUUGCGGUUGAUACGGGCGGGCUAGAGUUCGGUAGGGGAGACUGGAAUUCCUGGUGUAGCGGUGAAAUGCGCAGAUAUCAGGAGGAACACCGGUGGCGAAGGCGGGUCUCUGGGCCGAUACUGACGCUGAGGAGCGAAAGCGUGGGGAGCGAACAGG